RNAcentral lists this ribosomal RNA (253 nucleotides) under uncultured bacterium. RNAcentral describes it as "partial 16S ribosomal RNA". It matches the Rfam family "Bacterial small subunit ribosomal RNA", at positions 524 to 776 of the family's 1533-position model. The record is from RNAcentral.
UACGAAGGGGGCUAGCGUUGCUCGGAAUUACUGGGCGUAAAGCGCGCGUAGGCGGGCCGUUAAGUCGGGGGUGAAAGCCUGGGGCUCAACCUCAGAAUUGCCUUCGAUACUGGCGGCCUGGAGCAUAAUAGAGGCGAGUGGAAUUCCGAGUGUAGAGGUGAAAUUCGUAGAUAUUCGGAGGAACACCAGUGGCGAAGGCGACUCGCUGGAUCAUUGCUGACGCUGAGGCGCGAAAGCGUGGGUAGCAAACAGG